CAGAGUACCACGAGACACGUGAAACCUUGUGGGAAGCAGGGAGGACCACCUCCCAAGGCUAAAUACUACCUGAUGACCGAUAGUGAAGCAGUACCGUGAGGGAAAGGUGAAAAGAACCCCGGGAGGGGAGUGAAAUAGAACCUGAAACCGUGUGCCUACAACCGCUCAGAGCCCCUUAUGAGGGUGAUGAGGUGCUUUUUGUAGAACGAGCCAACGAGUUACGGUAUGUAGCAAGGUUAAGUACUUAAGGUACGGAGCCGAAGGGAAACCGAGUCUGAAUAGGGCGACUAGUUGCAUGCCGUAGACCCGAAACCGGGUGACCUAUCCAUGGCCAGGUUGAAGCGAGGGUAAAACCUCGUGGAGGACCGAACCACGUUGCUGUUGAAAAAGCAUGGGAUGAGCUGUGGAUAGCGGAGAAAUUCCAAUCGAACCCGGAGAUAGCUGGUUCUCUCCGAAAUAGCUUUAGGGCUAGCGUCGAGUAUGAGUAGUGGAGGUAGAGCACUGAAUGGGCUAGGGGGCAUAGCGCUUACCGAACCUUAUCAAACUCCGAAUGCCACAUACUUUGAGCUCGGCAGUCAGACUACGAAUGAUAAGAUCCGUGGUCAAAAGGGAAACAGCCCAGAUCGUCAGCUAAGGUCCCAAAGUGUAAGUUAAGUGGGAAAGGAUGUGAGAUUUCUAAGACAACUAGGAUGUUGGCUUAGAAGCAGCCAUUCAUUAAAAGAGUGCGUAAUAGCUCACUAGUCGAGAGAUCUUGCGCCGAAAAUGUAACGGGGCUAAACUUACCACCGAAGCUACGGGCUUGAACUUAGUUCAAGCGGUAGGAGAGCGUCGUAACCGGGCUGAAGUCGUACCGUAAGGAGCGGUGGACUGGUUACGAGUGAGAAUGUUGGCAUCAGUAGCGAGAUGUGGGUGAGAAUCCCACAGGCCGAAAACCUAAGGUUUCCUCAGGAAGGUUCGUCCGCUGAGGGUUAGUCGGGACCUAAGCCGAGGCCGAAAGGCGUAGGUGAUGGACAACUGGUUGAUAUUCCAGUACCACUACCAUCGUUAUUAUCGAUGGCGUGACGCAGGAGGAUAGUGUGUGCUAGCUAUUGGAUGCUAGUCUAAGCGUUUAGGCAGUGAGAGUAGGCAAAUCCGCUCUCAUAAUGCUGAGGCGUG
RNAcentral lists this ribosomal RNA (1155 nucleotides) under Clostridium perfringens. Its description in RNAcentral is "partial 23S ribosomal RNA". It matches the Rfam family "Bacterial large subunit ribosomal RNA", at positions 408 to 1565 of the family's 2925-position model. The record is from RNAcentral. Lineage: Bacteria; Bacillati; Bacillota; Clostridia; Eubacteriales; Clostridiaceae.